UACGGAGGAUCCGAGCGUUAUCCGGAUUUAUUGGGUUUACAGGGUGCGCAGGCGGUCUGUUAAGUCAGCGGUCAAAGCCCGGGGCUCAACCACGGCCCGCCGUUGAAACUGGCAGUCUCGAGUUGGAGAGAAGUAUGCGGAAUGCGCGGUGUAGCGGUGAAAUGCAUAGAUAUCACGAAGAACUCCGAUUGCGAAGGCAGCUUACCAAACUAUAUCUGACGUUGAGGCACGAAAGCGUGGGUAGCAAACAGG
Molecule: ribosomal RNA, 252 nt
Filed under: uncultured Bacteroidales bacterium
Lineage: Bacteria; Pseudomonadati; Bacteroidota; Bacteroidia; Bacteroidales
Description: partial 16S ribosomal RNA
Rfam family: Bacterial small subunit ribosomal RNA
Source: RNAcentral